Molecule: ribosomal RNA, 468 nt
Filed under: uncultured bacterium
Lineage: Bacteria
Description: partial 16S ribosomal RNA
Rfam family: Bacterial small subunit ribosomal RNA
Source: RNAcentral
GACGAACGCUGGCGGCGUGCUUAACACAUGCAAGUCGAACGGAAAGGCCCUGCUUUUGUGGGGUGCUCGAGUGGCGAACGGGUGAGUAACACGUGAGUAACCUGCCCUUGACUUUGGGAUAACUUUAGGAAACUGGGGCUAAUACCGGAUAGGAGCUUCUGCUGCAUGGUGUGGGUUGGAAAGUUUCGGCGGUUGGGGAUGGACUCGCGGCUUAUCAGCUUGUUGGUGGGGUAGUGGCUUACCAAGGCUUUGACGGGUAGCCGGCCUGAGAGGGUGACCGGCCACAUUGGGACUGAGAUACGGCCCAGACUCCUACGGGAGGCAGCAGUGGGGAAUAUUGCACAAUGGGCGGAAGCCUGAUGCAGCAACGCCGCGUGCGGGAUGACGGCCUUCGGGUUGUAAACCGCUUUCGCCUGUGACGAAGCGUGAGUGACGGUAAUGGGUAAAGAAGCACCGGCUAACUACGUG